UACGGAGGGUGCGAGCGUUGUCCGGAAUCAUUGGGCGUAAAGCGCACGUAGGCGGUGGGGUAAGUCUUGUGGUGAAAGGCCGGGGCUCAACCCCGGGCAGGCCCGAGAGACUGCCCCGCUGGAGACAGGCAGAGGCCAGCGGAAUUCCGGGUGUAGCGGUGGAAUGCGUAGAGAUCCGGAAGAACACCGGAGGCGAAGGCGGCUGGCUGGGCCUGAUCUGACGCUGAGGUGCGAAAGCGUGGGGAGCGAACAGG
This 254-nucleotide ribosomal RNA is filed under the name uncultured bacterium. Its description in RNAcentral is "partial 16S ribosomal RNA". It matches the Rfam family "Bacterial small subunit ribosomal RNA", at positions 524 to 776 of the family's 1533-position model. The record is from RNAcentral.